Molecule: non-coding RNA, 30 nt
Filed under: Mus musculus (house mouse)
Lineage: Eukaryota; Metazoa; Chordata; Mammalia; Rodentia; Muridae
Source: RNAcentral
UAGGUUUAAAGAUAUAAACAGUGGGAAGAA